Molecule: unclassified non-coding RNA, 400 nt
Filed under: uncultured fungus
Lineage: Eukaryota; Fungi
Description: sequence contains ITS1
Rfam family: 5.8S ribosomal RNA (bases 1-106)
Source: RNAcentral
GAACUGCGAUACGUAAUGCGAAUUGCAAGACUCAGUGAGACAUCUAAUCUUUGAACGCACAUUGCGCUGCCGGGUCACGCCUGGCAGCACGCCUCUCUCAGUAUCGGUUCACACACUCGCCCGCGCACUCCUGCAGUGCGCCGGAUGGACACUGAGCGUCUCGCACUGCGAGUCGCUUCAAAUGCAUGGAGUCGAAGUGCGGCCCUGUGGUCGCGCAGCUCUUCUGCUGCGCGGCCCGCUCUGCGUGCCUGCUCGCCUCUCGGACGUGACUAGUGACUUCGGUCUCCUUACCGCCCGCGACGCGACAGGCUGCCAGAGUGGCGCAGCGCCCUACCUCGACGUGACGCACCCCACCGCUGGUGAGCCCCGGCUCCCUAGCUCAUUGAUCUGAGAUGAAGCG